Molecule: transfer RNA, 74 nt
Filed under: Abditibacteriaceae bacterium
Lineage: Bacteria; Pseudomonadati; Abditibacteriota; Abditibacteriia; Abditibacteriales; Abditibacteriaceae
Description: Abitibacteriaceae bacterium (rhizosphere metagenome) tRNA-Leu
Rfam family: tRNA
About the family: Transfer RNA (tRNA) molecules are approximately 80 nucleotides in length. Their secondary structure includes four short double-helical elements and three loops (D, anti-codon, and T loops).
Source: RNAcentral
GCCCAUGUAGCCCAAUUGGUAGAGGCGAGAGUUCGAGAGGCUCUCUGUUCGGGGUUCGAGUCCCCGCAUGGGUA